GACCUCUAACCUUACCCAUCAUACAAAACUUUCUGCAUUUAAAAAAACAAAAAAAACGAACUUUUUUAAUAUACAUGUUUAUAAUCAAUUUUCCUUGUAAGGACCAGCAAAAAAUCCUCAGAAAGUAAUGAAUCUCGAGUGUUACUAUCCUUGUGGGGCAGUACAUGGCUAUACAUACCCACACACUCACAUACACACUCACUCACACACACACACACACACAUCCAGCAGCUGAACUCAAGGUCUAUCAGACUCAGUGUAUUUUCACACGAGCCGUUGAAGCCAAACCCGCUGAUGUCCAGUUUCAGGAAACCAUCUGAAGCAAAACACACACACACUCACUCACUCACUCACACACACACACACUCAGAUAUUAACAAUCAUGUGAAUAUUUUUUCAAAGGAGGACAGCCGAGUUCAUUCACUGUGAUUGAUGGGUGAUACCGUCGUCGGCCCUUCGCUAACUCGAAGCGUUUACAAGCCAUGAACACAAAAAUAUGCACAACAAACACACACUAGAGCGAGUGUGGCGGCGAACGCCAGCGAUCUGGAGAUCGGAAGUGUGUUUCUGAGACUCAUCAGGCUAAACAUGAAUUAAGUUGUGGUUGUAAUACGGGUGCGUCGUUUGCUGGUUGAGCGAGUGAUGAUGUCACGGAUGUACGGUGUGAUGAUGUCACGGAUGCAAGGUGUGAUGAUGUCACAGACUUACGGUGUGAUGAUGUCAUGGAUGCAAGGUGUGAUGAUGUCACGGGUGCAAGGUGUGAUGAUGUCACGGAUGUACGGUGUGAUGAUGUCACGGGUGCAAGGUGUGAUGAUGUCAUGGAUGUGACUUUAUAAAAUAGUGUCAUACAUAAAGAGAGAUUCAUAUUAAUGUAACAAUAAUGAGAAGCUGUGUGUGUGUGUACGAUGUGGGUGUGUGUGAGAGCUUCUGUGGUGUGUGUGCACCUGGUUGUAUAUGUGUGUGUGCAUUAGAGAGACUGAAGCACUGUGUUAUUUGUUCAACACUGUUUCUCUUUAUUUGCACCUGUGUGUCGGGAAACGUGCUCCUGCUUUUCCUCUCUGAUGAUGAUGAUUUCUCGUUGCCGUGUCGUGUCUGUGCCUUUAAUCGUGCGCUUUCUCCUGUAAAUGUGCAUAAACACUCCUGACGCACUGAUCACAUGAACUACAGUUACACAUUAGAAAGGUUCUGAUAUAUUUAAAGAGAGAUUUAUAUAGUAAUAAAUGUCACAGAAAUGCAGUAUAUAUUCUAUAACACUUUUUUGUACAUUAGAAUAUUUUUGUGUGCUAUAUUCUGUAAGCUUUUGUUUCUGUCCUCUGUUUUGUCAUCUGUGGAUCACAUCCCCGUGUGGUCGAAUAAAGCCGUGAGCUGACGGACAGUGUGUGUGA
Non-coding RNA from Pimephales promelas (fathead minnow), 1385 nucleotides. The record is from RefSeq and is a predicted model, not a curated record. NCBI's taxonomy places the organism in Eukaryota, Metazoa, Chordata, Actinopteri, Cypriniformes, Leuciscidae.